UGGGGAAUAUUGCGCAAUGGGGGGAACCCUGACGCAGCCAUGCCGCGUGAAUGAAGAAGGCCUUCGGGUUGUAAAGUUCUUUCGGUGAUGAGGAAGGUAACAUUGUUAAUACCAAUGUUAAUUGACGUUAAUUACAGAAGAAGCACCGGCUAACUCCGUGCCAGCAGCCGCGGUAAUACGGAGGGUGCGAGCGUUAAUCGGAAUAACUGGGCGUAAAGGGCACGCAGGCGGAUUUUUAAGUGAGGUGUGAAAGCCCCGGGCUUAACCUGGGAAUUGCAUUUCAGACUGGGAAUCUAGAGUACUUUAGGGAGGGGUAGAAUUCCACGUGUAGCGGUGAAAUGCGUAGAGAUGUGGAGGAAUACCGAAGGCGAAGGCAGCCCCUUGGGAAUGUACUGACGCUCAUGUGCGAAAGCGUGGGGAGCAAACAGGAUUAGAUACCC
This 440-nucleotide ribosomal RNA is filed under the name uncultured bacterium. RNAcentral describes it as "bacterial SSU rRNA". It matches the Rfam family "Bacterial small subunit ribosomal RNA", at positions 355 to 787 of the family's 1533-position model. The record is from RNAcentral.